UGGAUCCAGACUUUGAUUCUGGCUCAGGACGAACGCUGGCGGCGCGCCUAACACAUGCAAGUCGAACGAGCGAGAGAGAGCUUGCUUUCUCGAGCGAGUGGCGAACGGGUGAGUAACGCGUGAGGAACCUGCCUCAAAGAGGGGGAUAACAGUUGGAAACGACUGCUAAUACCGCAUAAGCCCACGGGUCGGCAUCGACCAGAGGGAAAAGGAGCAAUCCGCUUUGAGAUGGCCUCGCGUCCGAUUAGCUAGUUGGUGAGGUAACGGCCCACCAAGGCGACGAUCGGUAGCCGGACUGAGAGGUUGAACGGCCACAUUGGGACUGAGACACGGCCCAGACUCCUACGGGAGGCAGCAGUGGGGAAUAUUGCACAAUGGGGGAAACCCUGAUGCAGCGACGCCGCGUGGAGGAAGAAGGUCUUCGGAUUGUAAACUCCUGUUGUUGGGGAAGAUAAUGACGGUACCCAACAAGGAAGUGACGGCUAACUACGUGCCAGCAGCCGCGGUAAAACGUACGUCACAAGCGUUGUCCGGAAUUACUGGGUGUAAAGGGAGCGCAGGCGGGAAGACAAGUUGGAAGUGAAAUCUAUGGGCUCAACCCAUAAACUGCUUUCAAAACUGUUUUUCUUGAG
This 632-nucleotide ribosomal RNA is filed under the name uncultured organism. Its description in RNAcentral is "bacterial SSU rRNA". It matches the Rfam family "Bacterial small subunit ribosomal RNA", at positions 1 to 646 of the family's 1533-position model. The record is from RNAcentral.